This is a long non-coding RNA of Frankliniella occidentalis (western flower thrips), 1137 nucleotides long. RefSeq lists it as uncharacterized. The record is from RefSeq and is a predicted model, not a curated record. The transcript has 2 exons. Lineage: Eukaryota; Metazoa; Arthropoda; Insecta; Thysanoptera; Thripidae.
UGCGACGUUGGCCGCCCGGCUGGCGAAGGGCAACCUGGGGUACUCUCACUCUCCUCGGAACUCUCCCUCAAACUCAUAUGCACUUCUUCCUCUGUCAGUGAAGCGAUCGCGCACACGGGAGAACGCUUCCAUUGCGGGCAACGUUAGCGAGUCCCCGUGAACCUGUACGCCGCACACUCAAAAACGGACUGUCCGACGAGGACCGAAAACACCUCGCCGCAUACAUCAAGGGCUACUGACCCACCAGCCUGUAACUAUUUUGUUUUUAUUGUUGUUGUUUUACCCCUCCUUGUAAUGUUAAUAAAUUAAUUAUUGUGAACGCGUCGCUGACGCGAGCAUUCGGCAUGCCAUGUCGGGGAGAAGGAUCUGUCGGGUCGCACAUCGUCACGGGUCGGACGAGUGCAACAAGGAAUGCGCCGGCCCGGCCGUGAAUACUCCUUUCCGAAUCGAGGAAUUCAAACUUGUUUGGAUUGAUCCUUUGGAAAGGGUAUAUUCGACUGGGCUCGGUGCAGCCCUACUGUGAUAGUGGUGCCCCUUUUGGGGGCCACAGGGGCCUCAGGCAGUCCCACGCACCGUCCUCGCCGUCACACGAAAUGGGCGUCGAUUCGACGUCGGUUCGGCAUCAGCGUGACGUUGAAGCGCCCUCGGAUCGACGCCAAAGAUAUCUUGUUUUAUACCCCCGUUCUUAAAGUUUAAAGUGAGUUGACUGAGCGUUAAGAUACGAGUACAAAGUUAUACUCGCCCAUGUACCCACCGAGAAUUGUUCUUAUUGUUAGCGUGUGCGAUAUUUGUUUCAAUUCGCACCCACUACAUGUUUUUAUUUUUCCGGGGAGCUUGUGGUACUGUAUCUUUCAACAUUAUGUUUUCCUUUAAAUCAGUGCAGCCCCAUUCGUUAAUAGUUUUUAGUCCUCUCUUGCACAUAGUUCCUCUCCCCUCUUGCAUGCCUUGCAAAAUGUGAUAAUGAGAACUGUAAAUUUAUGCUAAAGUGUUGCUAGUCUCUUUUUUUUUUUACAAAUAAAUACUGUGUAUUUUUACGCUUUUUUUUGAAAGUAUUGAGCUUGAUUCAGAUUUGUAUUCAGAUCCUAUCAUUAAUUUUAAGGGCACAAAUAAAUAUGAGAGAAAAGCAAAAGCUAAAAA